Molecule: ribosomal RNA, 468 nt
Filed under: Paenibacillus ottowii
Lineage: Bacteria; Bacillati; Bacillota; Bacilli; Caryophanales; Paenibacillaceae
Description: bacterial SSU rRNA
Rfam family: Bacterial small subunit ribosomal RNA
Source: RNAcentral
UUAAUGGAGAGUUUGAUCCUGGCUCAGGACGAACGCUGGCGGCGUGCCUAAUACAUGCAAGUCGAGCGGGGUUAUUUAGAAGCUUGCUUCUAAAUAACCUAGCGGCGGACGGGUGAGUAACACGUAGGCAACCUGCCCACAAGACAGGGAUAACUACCGGAAACGGUAGCUAAUACCCGAUACAUCCUUUUCCUGCAUGGGAGAAGGAGGAAAGACGGAGCAAUCUGUCACUUGUGGAUGGGCCUGCGGCGCAUUAGCUAGUUGGUGGGGUAAAGGCCUACCAAGGCGACGAUGCGUAGCCGACCUGAGAGGGUGAUCGGCCACACUGGGACUGAGACACGGCCCAGACUCCUACGGGAGGCAGCAGUAGGGAAUCUUCCGCAAUGGGCGAAAGCCUGACGGAGCAACGCCGCGUGAGUGAUGAAGGUUUUCGGAUCGUAAAGCUCUGUUGCCAGGGAAGAACGUCUU